AUGGCCUCCUCUCCACCCACCACCCUCACCCCCCCAGAUCCCUCCCUGGCCACCGACCCCCCCAUUCCUGCCCUCCGUCCGAACUCCCCUGCAGAUCCAGAUCCAAGACUGCUGGUUGCCGGUGCUACUGUUGGUGACGGGGCUUCUCUCUCGCGCUCCGAGGGAUGCCAUGGGCUCCUCCCUCCACUCAAGUUGCUGCCCCCUUCAGAUCGACUCCCCCCGAACUUCAGGCCACAAAUCGUGUCUGAUGCAUCGCAGGCUCCGGCGGAGAAGGGGUGGGUGGAGGUCGGGGGCCGGCAUCGCCCGAGGUUGGAGAAGCCAUCUGCCCUGCCCCGUAAGAAGAAGGACGACCACUCCCUCGCAUUCAAGCAGAGAUCUUACGGACUCUGCUUCCGUUGCUUGGCGGAGGACCACUUUGUCGCCGAUUGCCGAGGCCCUGUCACCUGCCUGGGUUGCGGCCACUCUAGCCAUCGCAAGCGUGACUGUCUGGGCCGCCUUCCUGCCAGUCAAGGUCGCCUCCGCCGCUCCAUGUUGCCGCCAUAUGCUCCUGGACUCCCCAACCAUGAGCCCCCAACUUCUUCACAACAGUUGCAGCAGCGCUCGUGGGCCGCCGUGGUUGCUUCUCCGAUGGGGCUCGUUCAGGAGGCCCUUUGUAGCAACUCCGGUGUCUCUUGGUCAGGUCUGUCCGAUCCCGGCAAGACUACCUUUGCUGUUGAUCUGGGGCUGCUACAACCCCUUUUUGCAGCACAGACCAAGACGUUGCGCGCUGAACUGCAGGCCCUGGUUACCGCCCGUGUGGAGGAGGUCGUUCAACCUCUCCGCGACAUGGCGGUCACUUUGCAGGGAUGGGCGGCUUGGGUCUCAGGCCUCUUGGAGCGGCUGGAGGAUACCAGUGAUGCGGGUGUGGCCGGUUGCUCAUCCGAGGUACUGGCUACUGUGGCUCUACCUGUAGAUGUUCCUCCUCCUUCGGAUCUAGCUCUGCACAGGAUGGUGACUCAAGGUGAGGAGGCACAAGCUAAGGUUGCUGAGAAAGUCAGAGGGACCGAUGAUAUGGAGCGGACUGAGGUGUCCUUACCCGUUGGCUUGGUUGGAGAGGUGCCGCCCUUGGUCUCCUCUCCAGGGAUGACUGCCUCAGAGGGUAGUAGAAUUUAG
Molecule: ribosomal RNA, 1152 nt
Filed under: Triticum aestivum (bread wheat)
Lineage: Eukaryota; Viridiplantae; Streptophyta; Magnoliopsida; Poales; Poaceae
Description: partial small subunit ribosomal RNA
Source: RNAcentral